AUUGAACGCUGGCGGAAUGCUUUACACAUGCAAGUCGAACGGCAGCACGGACUUCGGUCUGGUGGCGAGUGGCGAACGGGUGAGUAAUACAUCGGAACGUGCCCAGUCGUGGGGGAUGACGUAGCGAAAGCUACGCUAAUACCGCAUACGAUCUAAGGAUGAAAGCGGGGGGUCGCAAGACCUCGCGCGAUUGGAGCGGCCGAUGGCAGAUUAGGUAGUUGGUAGGGUAAAGGCCUACCAAGCCGACGAUCUGUAGCUGGUCUGAGAGGACGACCAGCCACACUGGGACUGAGACACGGCCCAGACUCCUACGGGAGGCAGCAGUGGGGAAUUUUGGACAAUGGACGCAAGUCUGAUCCAGCCAUUCCGCGUGCAGGAUGAAGGCCCUCGGGUUGUAAACUGCUUUUGUACAGAACGAAAAGGCUCUGGUUAAUACCUGGAGCUCAUGACGGUACUGUAAGAAUAAGCACCGGCUAACUACGUGCCAGCCGCCGCGGUAA
RNAcentral lists this ribosomal RNA (500 nucleotides) under uncultured bacterium. Its description in RNAcentral is "partial 16S ribosomal RNA". It matches the Rfam family "Bacterial small subunit ribosomal RNA", at positions 30 to 523 of the family's 1533-position model. The record is from RNAcentral.